Megalobrama amblycephala (Wuchang bream) is the source of this 1037-nucleotide non-coding RNA. Lineage: Eukaryota; Metazoa; Chordata; Actinopteri; Cypriniformes; Xenocyprididae. The record is from the annotation of a RefSeq genome assembly.
GUUCAGGCCAAAUUUAGAGCUCGGAGCUCUUCCCCGAACAGCACACCAAAUACACAUAAUUACUAUACAAAUUACUUUAUUUUGAGUUCAUGUACGUGUAAACUCGUGAAUACAAUUAUCUCAGUUUUAGCUGUAUUUAACUACAUACUUUUCAUGUCUGUCUUAGGCAGAUAAGAGUGUGGUGCUCAUGCGUUUCCACUGGAGGCUGAUGGAGGGUUCUGGAUAUGCACCAUAUUUGAGUGGACCUUCAAUUUUUCCACACCAAACUGAGCAGCUCAGGAAUGAUGACACACUGACACAGGGGUUUAGAAACCCUUGUUUUUCUACAAUUGUUCAUGAUCAGUAUCAUAAUCUACAUGAGGAAUUUUGUGUUGUUUUCCAUUUAUUCAUCAUAACAGAUCCCACAAAAACUCCAUUUCAAAACCUUCAUGUGUCUGACUCUGCUGUAUCACUGAGUCUCUAAUAUAUGCUGUCAUGGCCAUUUUAUUUAAAGAAAUAGUUUCUUAAAAAAAAUGUUUUUAGUAAAAACACACAUCUUCAUUAUAAUCAAAAUUAUUUCCCCUUUUCGGGACAUUCAAAGUCUGAGUUAUAUUUCUACUGGUAGAGGUGUGGCUCUACUGUGAUCCUGUGGAGCUCUUCAGAGUCUGUUACAGAGCUCAGUUCAGCUGCAUUAGUGAACACACACAAUGGUGCUCCUCUCUGUUAUUCUGCUCUUUGUCUUUACAUGUGCUACGUGUGGAGAUGAAAUUAAACCAACCAAACCUGAAGAGUUUGCUGUUGAGGGUUUAAGUGUCACAUUAUCCUGCAGUUAUUCAUCUGCACAGACUUUAUUCUGGUACCGUCAAUAUCCAAGAUCAGCUCCUGAAUUUAUUGUAGUUAUCGUAUAUGGUACAAAAGAAGACAGGGAGUCUGAUGUAAAUAAGAGAUUCACUGCUAAACACAACAAAGAAAAGCAAAACCAUGUGGAUCUGGAGAUCUCCUCUGCUGCAGUAUCAGACUCUGCUCUGUAUUACUGUGCUCUGAGGCCCACAGUCACA